UCAAAACUCAUCAUAUUUAGAGAAAAACUUCUCAUUCAAUAUACAAAAAAUUAGAUUAGAAAAAAGUGGAAUAAAAAAUAUAUAUAUAAAAUAGUAGCAUAAAAUAAUAUCAAAAACAUUAUAAUAAAACACAAAAAAUAUAUGAGAAGAGAGAUUAGAGAAGAUGAAAAAAAAACAUAAGAGAUGCGAGAUUGAGAAGAAAUGUGCGAUAAAAAUGUAAUUAGAAG
This 227-nucleotide long non-coding RNA is filed under the name Lathyrus oleraceus (garden pea). Its description in RNAcentral is "Pisum sativum (pea) long non-coding RNA (PSAT_LNC015465)". Lineage: Eukaryota; Viridiplantae; Streptophyta; Magnoliopsida; Fabales; Fabaceae. The record is from RNAcentral.